AGAGUUUGAUCAUGGCUCAGAACGAACGCUGGCGGCAGGCCUAACACAUGCAAGUCGAGCGCGCCUUCGGGUGAGCGGCGGACGGGUUAGUAACGCGUGGGAACGUGCCCUUCUCUACGGAAUAGCCUCUGGAAACGGAGAGUAAUACCGUAUACGCCCUUUGGGGGAAAGAUUUAUCGGAGAAGGAUCGGCCCGCGUUAGAUUAGGUAGUUGGUGGGGUAACGGCCUGCCAAGCCUACGAUCUAUAGCUGGUUUUAGAGGAUGAUCAGCAACACUGGGACUGAGACACGGCCCAGACUCCUACGGGAGGCAGCAGUGGGGAAUCUUAGACAAUGGGGGCAACCCUGAUCUAGCCAUGCCGCGUGAGUGAUGAAGGCCUUAGGGUCGUAAAGCUCUUUCGCCUGUGAUGAUAAUGACAGUAGCAGGUAAAGAAACCCCGGCUAACUCCGUGCCAGCAGCCGCGGUAAUACGGAGGGGGUUAGCGUUGUUCGGAAUUACUGGGCGUAAAGCGCGCGUAGGCGGAUUAGAAAGUUGGGGGUGAAAUCCCGGGGCUCAACCUCGGAACUGCCUCCAAAACUGCUAGUCUAGAGUUCGAGAGAGGUGAGUGGAAUUCCGAGUGUAGAGGUGAAAUUCGUAGAUAUUCGGAGGAACACCAGUGGCGAAGGCGGCUCACUGGCUCGAUACUGACGCUGAGGUGCGAAAGUGUGGGGAGCAAACAGGAUUAGAUACCCUGGUAGUCCACACCGUAAACGAUGAAUGCCAGUCGUCGGGUAGUAUACUAUUCGGUGACACACCUAACGGAUUAAGCAUUCCGCCUGGGGAGUACGGUCGCAGAUUAAACUCAAGG
RNAcentral lists this ribosomal RNA (847 nucleotides) under uncultured bacterium. Its description in RNAcentral is "bacterial SSU rRNA". It matches the Rfam family "Bacterial small subunit ribosomal RNA", at positions 8 to 906 of the family's 1533-position model. The record is from RNAcentral.